UCAUUUCUUCUUAUUUUCAAAACCCUCAUUUUUUCUCUCUCCUCAGAAACUUCCCUUCUCUCUCCUCUCUGCUCCAGCGGCGAUGACGAAGAAGACGCCGGAGAAGACAACGGUGGUACUUCCUUGCCACCGUGGCCAUCAACUACUCGCCCGACUCUCCUCCUUCCGUAGAUCGAAGAGAUGAUGUCCAUAGGAUAAGAAAGACGGAGAUCUAAGUUUCAGCUUCGAUCAAGUGCUAUGAGGAUUCUGCUCAAGCUAGUGUCUACGAAGUUUCUUUGCCGGUUGUUCAAGGUUGCUGGUGGUUGCGUCUUUCAGGUUGCUGGUGGCUCAAUGCCUGGGCUGGUGCAAUUGGUACAAGGUACAACCUGCCUGUGUUUUUGUUGUUGUUCGCGGAGGAGCAACGGUGCGGUAAUCCCUGUUCAUACCAAAACUUGCGGAAUAUAUUUAAUUUGUUUUACACUUUUAGUUACAAUUAAUAUUGCUUUAGUUAAUAAUUAUUUUGUUUUAGUUAAGAAUAAUUAACUUUUAGUGAAGAAAUUUUCGACGAUUCCACCCCCUAACUCUUCUUUAGCCCCGCUGGCGCAGCAGCUAAAGCAGGUUAGUGAAGACUAAACUUGUUUUAGCUAGUACUAAUACUAAGAGACCUGAAGUCCGAACUAGGCUUUGUAGUCUUGUAGAGGUUCUUGCUUGCUUAAGGAUGUGUUGCUACAUUAAUUUUCUGCAACUUUUGAUGGAGACCUGGCUAUUGAUCUUGAUGUGUUGGUUUGUGUUGACUAUGUCGAGUGCUUUGUUGAUGUUAUAAUUUGUGUUUUAUUUUGGUUUGUGCUUUAUAAAUCAGUAAAUAUAGAUGCAUAACUUUAUAUUUAUGUGCAACAGGAUGUUUCUGGGAAAUGGUAGAGUAUUGAACAAAAUUGACCUCCCAAGCAGAGGAGUCGAGGCACAGGCACAGGCACAGGGCCACAUGGCAAUUAGUGAAACUCCAACGUUUAUCCCCGUUCCUCUACUCUGCUCUCGUCGUUGCUGCGUGUGGAGGGUUGGGGAAUGCAGGUGGCGGAGCAGCAGAGGAGACGGUUGUGGAGUGGGAUAGGGCGCUUGCUGUUGCUGGUUGGAGCAUGCUGGCAAGGAAGAUGGAGGAUUGAGGUGGUACCUCUUGGUGUGGUGAAGGAUAGGCUGGAAAUGGGGUGUAGUUUAAGUCUCAAAUGCUUGAUGCGUGUUGUUUUGUGAUGUACCGUUGUUGUAGACUUGUAGUUGUUCGUUUAAUUAGUUUUAAUUCAGAAUAAUUUUGUUUUAGUUGUUAUUUAUUUCGUUUUAGUUAAUAAUAAUGUUUUUUUAGUUAUGAUUUAUUUUGUUUAAGUUAUAGUUAAGAAUUUUUUUUUUAAGUUACACUUUUGUUAUAUUUAGUUAUGAAAUAUAAUGAUUUAGUUAGA
This is a long non-coding RNA of Spinacia oleracea (spinach), 1427 nucleotides long. RefSeq lists it as uncharacterized. The record is from RefSeq and is a predicted model, not a curated record. NCBI's taxonomy places the organism in Eukaryota, Viridiplantae, Streptophyta, Magnoliopsida, Caryophyllales, Amaranthaceae. The transcript has 3 exons.